This 81-nucleotide transfer RNA is filed under the name Hofstenia miamia. RNAcentral's name for it is "tRNA-Sup for anticodon UUA". It matches the Rfam family "tRNA". Rfam says of the family: Transfer RNA (tRNA) molecules are approximately 80 nucleotides in length. The record is from RNAcentral. Lineage: Eukaryota; Metazoa; Xenacoelomorpha; Acoela; Hofsteniidae.
GGCAGAGUGGCCGAGCGGUCUAAGCCGUUGGUGUUACCACUAGUAUCUUCGGAUGCGUGGGUUCGAAUCCCACCUCUGUCA